CGUAAAGCGCGCGUAGGUGGAUAUUUAAGUCGAAUGUGAAAGCCCCGGGCUCAACCUGGGAAUUGCAUGCGAUACUGGAUAUCUAGAGUAUAGUAGAGGGAAGUGGAAUUCCGGUGUAGCGGUGAAAUGCGUAGAUAUCGGAAGGAACAUCAGUGGCGAAGGCGGCUUCCUGGACUAAUACUGACACUGAGGUGCGAAAGCGUGGGUAGCAAAGAGGAUUAGAGACCCUUGUAGUCCACGCUGUAAACGAUGACAACUCGCUGUUGGCCCCCUCAAUAACUUUCUUUUUUACGAGAGUUAUAGAGGGGGUUAGUAGCUUAGCUAACGCGUUAAGUUGUCCGCCUGGGGAGUACGGCCGCAAGGCUAAAACUCAAAGGAAUUGACGGGGGCCCGCACAAGCGGUGGAGCAUGUGGUUUAAUUCGAUGCAACGCGAAAAACCUUACCUACCCUUAACAUCCUUGGAAUCUUCUAGAGAUAGAAGAGUGCCUUCGGGAACCAGGUGAUAGGUGCUGCAUGGCU
This 520-nucleotide ribosomal RNA is filed under the name uncultured Coxiellaceae bacterium. RNAcentral describes it as "bacterial SSU rRNA". It matches the Rfam family "Bacterial small subunit ribosomal RNA", at positions 559 to 1050 of the family's 1533-position model. Lineage: Bacteria; Pseudomonadati; Pseudomonadota; Gammaproteobacteria; Legionellales; Coxiellaceae. The record is from RNAcentral.